AUGAGCAACCUGGGUGGCCAAGCAUUUGCACAUCCCCAAGGAAGAAUGCCCGCAGGAUCUGCUGUUCCAGAUGGCCCCCCUACACCAACUGUCAAGACUAAAUUGUGCAACAAGUAUAACACUGCGGAGGGAUGCAAAUGGGGCGACAAGUGCCACUUUGCGCAUGGUGAGAGGGAGCUCGGCAAACACACGUUCAUCAACAAUUCCAUGCCACCCCAUAUGGGACCAAGGCCCACCGGCCACUUUGGACCUCCGGCAAUGCCGAGCCCUGCCAUGACCACCCCAGCAGGCUUCGGGGCUUCUUCCACAGCCAAGGUCAGUGUCGAUGCGUCCCUCGUAGGUGGCAUCAUCGGGCGGGAUGGAGUCAACACAAAGCAGAUAUCCCGAGUCACCGGGGCCAAGCUGGCCAUCCGGGACCACGAUAUCACCGCGGCGGCGCCGGUGGGCAGGGAAGGAACUUCAAGACCAAGCUGUGCGACAACUUCACGAAAGGAUCGUGCACGUUUGGCGACAGAUGCCACUUUGCCCACGGCGAAAACGAACUGCGCAAGUCGGCUGCCGCGUGAGGUUGAUCUACCCACCCAUUAG
Molecule: ribosomal RNA, 588 nt
Filed under: Triticum aestivum (bread wheat)
Lineage: Eukaryota; Viridiplantae; Streptophyta; Magnoliopsida; Poales; Poaceae
Description: partial small subunit ribosomal RNA
Source: RNAcentral